UGCAUAACGAGCGAGAAAUAAGUCGCAAA
Molecule: small RNA, 29 nt
Filed under: Bombyx mori (domestic silkworm)
Lineage: Eukaryota; Metazoa; Arthropoda; Insecta; Lepidoptera; Bombycidae
Description: ovarian small RNA-3741
Source: RNAcentral